CAGCAGCAGCCACGGUAAUACGAAGGGUGCAAGCGUUAAUCGGAAUUACUGGGCGUAAAGCGUGCGUAGGCGGUGAGUUAAGUCUGCUGUGAAAUCCCCGGGCUCAACCUGGGAAUGGCAGUGGAUACUGGCUCGCUAGAGUGUGUCAGAGGAUGGUGGAAUUCCCGGUGUAGCGGUGAAAUGCGUAGAGAUCGGGAGGAACAUCAGUGGCGAAGGCGGCCAUCUGGGACAACACUGACGCUGAGGCACGAAAGCGUGGGGAGCAAACAGGAUUAGAGACCCCCGUAGUCCCUGUCUCUUAUAC
Molecule: ribosomal RNA, 304 nt
Filed under: uncultured bacterium
Lineage: Bacteria
Description: partial 16S ribosomal RNA
Rfam family: Bacterial small subunit ribosomal RNA
Source: RNAcentral